CAACUUUCAACAACGGAUCUCUUGGCUCUCGCAUCGAUGAAGAACGCAGCGAAAUGCGAUACGUAAUGUGAAUUGCAGAAUUCAGUGAAUCAUCGAAUCUUUGAACGCACCUUGCGCCCCUUGGCAUUCCGAGGGGCACACCUGUUUGAGUGUCGUG
RNAcentral lists this ribosomal RNA (157 nucleotides) under Russula turci. RNAcentral describes it as "5.8S ribosomal RNA". It matches the Rfam family "5.8S ribosomal RNA". From Rfam's summary of the family: 5.8S ribosomal RNA (5.8S rRNA) is a component of the large subunit of the eukaryotic ribosome. It is transcribed by RNA polymerase I as part of the 45S precursor that also contains 18S and 28S rRNA. Functionally, it is thought that 5.8S rRNA may be involved in ribosome translocation. The record is from RNAcentral. Lineage: Eukaryota; Fungi; Basidiomycota; Agaricomycetes; Russulales; Russulaceae.